RNAcentral lists this ribosomal RNA (253 nucleotides) under uncultured bacterium. RNAcentral describes it as "partial 16S ribosomal RNA". It matches the Rfam family "Bacterial small subunit ribosomal RNA", at positions 524 to 776 of the family's 1533-position model. The record is from RNAcentral.
GACGAAGGUGGCAAGCGUUAUUCGGAUUUACUGGGCAUAAAGCGCGCGUAGGCGGCUUGGCAAGUCGGGGGUGAAAGCCCGCAGCUCAACUGCGGAACUGCCUUCGAUACUGCCGGGCUUGAGGGCGGGAGGGGUGAUUGGAACUCCAGGUGUAGCGGUGAAAUGCGCAGAUAUCAGGAAGAACACCCGUGGCUAAGGCGGUUCUCUAGUACGGUACUGACGCUGAGACGCGAAAGCGUGGGGAGCGAACGGG